RNAcentral lists this ribosomal RNA (465 nucleotides) under uncultured bacterium. RNAcentral's name for it is "bacterial SSU rRNA". It matches the Rfam family "Bacterial small subunit ribosomal RNA", at positions 331 to 792 of the family's 1533-position model. The record is from RNAcentral.
CCAGACUCCUACGGGAGGCAGCAGUGAGGAAUAUUGGUCAAUGGGCUUACGCCUGAACCAGCCAAGUCGCGUGAGGGAAGACUGCCCUAUGGGUUGUAAACCUCUUUUGUCAGGGAGCAACGCCGGCUACGUGUAGCCGGACUGAGAGUACCUGAAGAAAAAGCAUCGGCUAACUCCGUGCCAGCAGCCGCGGUAAUACGGAGGAUGCGAGCGUUAUCCGGAUUUAUUGGGUUUAAAGGGUGCGUUGGCGGUUCGAUAAGUUAGAGGUGAAAUCCCGGGGCUCAACUCCGGCACUGCCUCUGAUACUGUCGGGCUAGAGUUUAGUUGCGGUAGGCGGAAUGUAUGGUGUAGCGGUGAAAUGCAUAGAGAUCAUGCAGAACACCGAUUGCGAAGGCAGCUUACCAAACUACGACUGACGUUGAGGCACGAAAGCGUGGGGAGCAAACAGGAUUAGAUACCCGAGUA